This 154-nucleotide ribosomal RNA is filed under the name uncultured bacterium. RNAcentral describes it as "partial 16S ribosomal RNA". It matches the Rfam family "Bacterial small subunit ribosomal RNA", at positions 29 to 181 of the family's 1533-position model. The record is from RNAcentral.
AGCGAACGUUAGCGGCGGGCCUAACACAUGCAAGUCGAGCGAGAAAGUGGCUUCGGCCAUCAGUAAAGCGGCGGACGGGUGAGUAACACGUAGGUAAUCUUCCCUUGAGCGGGGGACAACGUUUCGAAAGGAACGCUAAUACCGCAUACGUUCC